This 208-nucleotide ribosomal RNA is filed under the name uncultured bacterium. Its description in RNAcentral is "partial 16S ribosomal RNA". It matches the Rfam family "Bacterial small subunit ribosomal RNA", at positions 568 to 774 of the family's 1533-position model. The record is from RNAcentral.
AGCGUAGGCGGCCGGUCAAGUCCAGUGUGAAAGCCUUACCGCUCAACGGAAGGAUGUCACUGGAAACUGAUCGACUAGAGCCGGGUAGAGGCAAGCGGAAUUCCUGGUGUAGCGGUGGAAUGUGUAGAGAUCAGGAAGAACAUCGGUGGCGAAGGCGGCUUGCUGGGCCCGUGCUGACGCUGAGGCUCGAAAGCGUGGGGAGCAAACA